RNAcentral lists this non-coding RNA (45 nucleotides) under Schistosoma margrebowiei. The record is from RNAcentral. Lineage: Eukaryota; Metazoa; Platyhelminthes; Trematoda; Strigeidida; Schistosomatidae.
AUCCAACUGACGAGUCACAAAUAGGAUGAAAUCUGUGUCCUGGAU